AAUGAACGCUGGCGGCGUGCCUAACACAUGCAAGUCGAGCGAGAAAGUCUCUUCGGAGAUAAGUACAGCGGCGGACGGGUGAGUAACGCGUGAGAAUUUACCCUUUAGUGAAGAAUACCUCUGAGAAAUCAGGGUUAAUACUGCAUACGUCCCUACGGGGAGAAAGGUGGCCUCUUUGCUGCCGCUAAAGGAUAAGCUUGCGUACUAUUAGCUAGUUGGUGAGGUAAAGGCUCACCAAGGCGAUGAUGGUUAGCCGGCCUGAGAGGGUGUACGGCCACACUGGAACUUAGACACGGUCCAGACUCCUACGGGAGGCAGCAGUGAGGAAUAUUGCGCAAUGGGCGAAAAGCCU
RNAcentral lists this ribosomal RNA (352 nucleotides) under uncultured bacterium. RNAcentral describes it as "bacterial SSU rRNA". It matches the Rfam family "Bacterial small subunit ribosomal RNA", at positions 29 to 384 of the family's 1533-position model. The record is from RNAcentral.